CAAUGGGAGGAAACCUGAUGCAGCAACGCCGCGUGGAGGAUGACGCACUUCGGGUUGUAAACUCCUUUUAUGUGGGAAGAAUAAUGACGGUGCCCUAUGAAUAAGCACCGGCUAACUCCGUGCCAGCAGCCGCGGUAAUACGGAGGGUGCAAGCGUUACUCGGAAUCACUGGGCGUAAAGCGCGCGCAGGCGGUCUUUUAAGUUGGAUGUGAAACCUAGAGGCUCAACUCGUAGAACUGCAUCUCAAACUCGUUCGGCUAGAGUGUAGUGAGAGGAAGAUGGAAUUACUUGCU
RNAcentral lists this ribosomal RNA (293 nucleotides) under uncultured Campylobacterota bacterium. Its description in RNAcentral is "uncultured Epsilonproteobacteria bacterium partial 16S ribosomal RNA". It matches the Rfam family "Bacterial small subunit ribosomal RNA", at positions 369 to 675 of the family's 1533-position model. The record is from RNAcentral. Lineage: Bacteria; Pseudomonadati; Campylobacterota.